Molecule: ribosomal RNA, 501 nt
Filed under: uncultured bacterium
Lineage: Bacteria
Description: partial 16S ribosomal RNA
Rfam family: Bacterial small subunit ribosomal RNA
Source: RNAcentral
AUUGAACGCUGGCGGCAGGCUUAACACAUGCAAGUCGAGCGGGGGAAGGUAGCUUGCUACCGGACCUAGCGGCGGACGGGUGAGUAAUGCUUAGGAAUCUGCCUAUUAGUGGGGGACAACAUCUCGAAAGGGAUGCUAAUACCGCAUACGUCCUACGGGAGAAAGCAGGGGAUCUUCGGACCUUGCGCUAAUAGAUGAGCCUAAGUCGGAUUAGCUAGUUGGUGGGGUAAAGGCCUACCAAGGCGACGAUCUGUAGCGGGUCUGAGAGGAUGAUCCGCCACACUGGGACUGAGACACGGCCCAGACACCUACGGGAGGUAGCAGUGGGGGAUAUUGGACAAUGGGGGGAACCCUGAUCCAGCCAUGCCGCGUGUGUGAAGAAGGCCUUAUGGUUGUAAAGCACUUUAAGCGAGGAGGAGGCUACUUUAGUUAAUACCUAGAGAUAGUGGACGUUACUCGCAGAAUAAGCACCGGCUAACUCUGUGCCAGCCGCCGCAGUAA